RNAcentral lists this microRNA precursor (126 nucleotides) under Linum usitatissimum (flax). Its description in RNAcentral is "miR167i stem-loop (lus-MIR167i)". Its record names the gene lus-MIR167i. It matches the Rfam family "MIR167 microRNA precursor family". The record is from miRBase by way of RNAcentral. Lineage: Eukaryota; Viridiplantae; Streptophyta; Magnoliopsida; Malpighiales; Linaceae.
CAUGCACCAGUGGCAGUUGAAGCUGCCAGCAUGAUCUGGAUUUUCCCUUGAAUAUUUUAGCACCAUUCAUUCAUGUAUGGGAGAGACUAGAUCAUAUGGCAGCUUCACCUGUUCAUGGUGGGCAUG